Molecule: ribosomal RNA, 1372 nt
Filed under: uncultured bacterium
Lineage: Bacteria
Description: bacterial SSU rRNA
Rfam family: Bacterial small subunit ribosomal RNA
Source: RNAcentral
GAUGAACGCUGGCGGCGUGCCUAAUACAUGCAAGUCGAGCGAACGGACGAGAAGCUUGCUUCUCUGAUGUUAGCGGCGGACGGGUGAGUAACACGUGGAUAACCUACCUAUAAGACUGGGAUAACUUCGGGAAACCGGAGCUAAUACCGGAUAAUAUUUUGAACCGCAUGGUUCAAAAGUGAAAGACGGUCUUGCUGUCACUUAUAGAUGGAUCCGCGCUGCAUUAGCUAGUUGGUAAGGUAACGGCUUACCAAGGCAACGAUGCAUAGCCGACCUGAGAGGGUGAUCGGCCACACUGGAACUGAGACACGGUCCUGACUCCUACGGGAGGCAGCAGUAGGGAAUCUUCCGCAAUGGGCGAAAGCCUGACGGAGCAACGCCGCGUGAGUGAUGAAGGUCUUCGGAUCGUAAAACUCUGUUAUUAGGGAAGAACAUAUGUGUAAGUAACUGUGCACAUCUUGACGGUACCUAAUCAGAAAGCCACGGCUAACUACGUGCCAGCAGCCGCGGUAAUACGUAGGUGGCAAGCGUUAUCCGGAAUUAUUGGGCGUAAAGCGCGCGUAGGCGGUUUUUUAAGUCUGAUGUGAAAGCCCACGGCUCAACCGUGGAGGGUCAUUGGAAACUGGAAAACUUGAGUGCAGAAGAGGAAAGUGGAAUUCCAUGUGUAGCGGUGAAAUGCGCAGAGAUAUGGAGGAACACCAGUGGCGAAGGCGACUUUCUGGUCUGUAACUGACGCUGAUGUGCGAAAGCGUGGGGAUCAAACAGGAUUAGAUACCCUGGUAGUCCACGCCGUAAACGAUGAGUGCUAAGUGUUAGGGGGUUUCCGCCCCUUAGUGCUGCAGCUAACGCAUUAAGCACUCCGCCUGGGGAGUACGACCGCAAGGUUGAAACUCAAAGGAAUUGACGGGGACCCGCACAAGCGGUGGAGCAUGUGGUUUAAUUCGAAGCAACGCGAAGAACCUUACCAAAUCUUGACAUCCUUUGACAACUCUAGAGAUAGAGCCUUCCCCUUCGGGGGACAAAGUGACAGGUGGUGCAUGGUUGUCGUCAGCUCGUGUCGUGAGAUGUUGGGUUAAGUCCCGCAACGAGCGCAACCCUUAAGCUUAGUUGCCAUCAUUAAGUUGGGCACUCUAAGUUGACUGCCGGUGACAAACCGGAGGAAGGUGGGGAUGACGUCAAAUCAUCAUGCCCCUUAUGAUUUGGGCUACACACGUGCUACAAUGGACAAUACAAAGGGCAGCGAAACCGCGAGGUCAAGCAAAUCCCAUAAAGUUGUUCUCAGUUCGGAUUGUAGUCUGCAACUCGACUACAUGAAGCUGGAAUCGCUAGUAAUCGUAGAUCAGCAUGCUACGGUGAAUACGUUCCCGGGUCU